Gossypium arboreum is the source of this 634-nucleotide long non-coding RNA. RefSeq lists it as uncharacterized. The record is from RefSeq and is a predicted model, not a curated record. The transcript is spliced from 2 exons. Lineage: Eukaryota; Viridiplantae; Streptophyta; Magnoliopsida; Malvales; Malvaceae.
CGAAGGGAAAGGGCUUGCUCCAUAAAUAAUCCAUUUUAGGCGCAAGAGGGCAUAUCCGGGUCUCCAAGUGAGUCAGCGCGCGGAUCUACCCCCCUUGGAACGAUGCCGUUUUUGGAUAUGCUAUUAAACCCUCUUUUUUUCAAUUGUUUUCUACUUAAAACGCAGCAAAUCAUUCAAAUUAAAAUAAAUUAUGCUAUCAGCCCAUUCCCUUAGGGUUUCAUCUCGCAUGCUGCCGCCGACAAUAGGAGUAUUUGAGUCAUGAAAUCAAUUUGCAGCCCCAAGAUCCCUCCUCUGACUUCGAUUUCAACGAAGCAAAGAAGAAUCCAUGGCGAAUUUGCAAAGCUCGGUUGUACGGAGAAGCGAGAAGACGUGCGAAGGAGGCCGUGCGAAGAGCCACUCGUGGGAGCCCUAACUCUCUGGCCUAUUCUGGCACGUUCCUGAAGCUUCUAGUGCUGCUUAGAUAAUUUUAGGUGUAUUGGGCCUCGGGUUUUAGGGCUUAUUGGGUCAUGGUUUAUUUUAGUAAUUGGGCUAGGUUAUUGGACUUUUAUUGUAUUGUUUUUUUUUCAUUUUAGCUUUGGGUUUUGUAAUUGGACUUUGGCCCUAUAAACAAUUUAUUUUUGUUUGGUUUUAUAAA